Molecule: long non-coding RNA, 490 nt
Organism: Xenopus laevis (African clawed frog)
Lineage: Eukaryota; Metazoa; Chordata; Amphibia; Anura; Pipidae
Exons: 4
Source: RefSeq, a predicted model, not a curated record
GGUGAAUGUGAGUUGAGAUAUGCAAAUAUCACUUAUAAAUUAGCUAUCAUUAGUAUUACCAACAGCCCACCAUUAACAAAUGAAUUUAUUAAUUUGUUACUUACCAACUUCAUAAACAUUUUUGUUGGCUAGGCUUGAAUUGCUGAUCUCUGCAUAUGCAGAGUCCCUUCGUGCUGGUGACUUCAUCUCCACGUAUCCACACUCAGUGUUUUUCGGCAGAAGGACCGGUGGAUCUUUUAUAGUAGCAUAAGGAUUUUCACUGCUACUCACGGAACAGGACCGCCCCUUGGGAUCCUAUGAUUCAACAGCAGUAUUUACGGAUAUCUACAGUUUGAUGAUGAAGAGAGCUAACAGGAAAAGGACAACCAACACAAGGACAAUGAUUCCAGCAAUGGCUCCAAUCUGAGAGACCCCAUGAAGCCAGCUAAACAAUCACACUGGCCAGUUACAUGAUGACAAGGACCAUUGCUAUGGACACACUGAGGACAAG